Long non-coding RNA from Daphnia pulex (common water flea), 1543 nucleotides. RefSeq lists it as uncharacterized. The transcript is spliced from 9 exons. The record is from RefSeq and is a predicted model, not a curated record. NCBI's taxonomy places the organism in Eukaryota, Metazoa, Arthropoda, Branchiopoda, Diplostraca, Daphniidae.
GUUCGUCUGCAGUCUGCAAAAAUUUAUAGGAACUUGCGAAGCGUUUGUAGGCUUUUUCUAACUCAGCGUUAAACGGUUAUACUUUAACUGCCAUACCUGUGUUUUUCAUGGAUGUCCCGCCCCCUUAACACGUGAUUAAAACGAAGAAGUCAAGUGAAAUCAAGUCAUGGAAAUGUUUGAAAAAUCCCAGGAUUCCAAGGACACAUCGGAACAAAAAGUGAAACGUGAAAGUUGCCUGUCACUUGGGUUACCAAAAUUGUCUCUGCCUUUUUAAGUUCAGUGUUGCUGUUCAGUUUGUGUAGAAAUGAACAGUGAAGACAAAUACCUGAUGAAGUGAAACCGAGCAUUCACUGUCAAAAAAACCUUAAUUGAAUUGGAAUUAGGAACACUGCGGAAUCUUCGCCAGGCAGCCCAGUUUUUACCCCCAUAGAGGAGAUUUCACCAAUAGAAAAUUGGAGACUAGUGAUUGAUUGAGUGACCGAGAGUUUGAGAUAAGACUUAGAUUGGGUUUUUUUUUAGUAAAAAAACAUUUGCUGUGUAUGGAUUACCUUAUUUCUCUUCCCAGCUUCUGUUUGAUUUUGUCUAUAUUUUCAGGUUCAUUUUGGUGAGCAACAACUAAUGUAAACAGCAUUGCAAUUCGUCCAACAAAAAUGCAUCAACAGCCAGCAUCAACAGAAGGAUGAUUUCUCAAAGAAAUUAUCCAUACACCGAACAGAUACAUAAAUUCAGACGUAGGCAUGGGCGGCUUUGCAGUGUCAUGACUCUAGUCCUUUCAUUGAGGUGCAUUCACGUAGGAACUUGGAAGUCGUCCAGUGUAGCUCCGGAAAAGAAUACUUAUUCGCUCUUAUAAAUCUUACAGCGAAAAAUGUCAACGAAAUUUCGCCCUUAAAUGCAGUUCUAAUCCUCAAGUCGACCAUCAGUUACACUGGCGAUGACAUCACUAACAAGUAACAACAUGAUUUCUGCCACCCACCAUGCCAGCCAGUUCUCCCAAUCAUUAGUGUAUCUGAAGCAAUAAUAAAAUUAUUGAAAUUCUAUGGGUGCCAAUCCCUGCAGUUCCCGCUUCUCAAUAGGAAGCACACAACAAACUUCCAAUGACAGUUAAUUUCAGCAAGGACAUCAAUAACAAAGAAGAAGUUGUUUAAUAUUUAUCAUGCUAUUAUAAAAAUGUGCCUAUAAGAGACCCAGAACAAAUGUGAAGUAUUUGGUGCACCAAAGAAAGAAGAAAAGACACUAAUGCCCUUACGUUAAACGCGGAUCAAGCAAUCGCGCAUAAAUGAAAGUUUAUGUUCCCGAAGAUACUAUCCGAUGUGGCAUGUUGUUGCAGCCUAUGUUGGCGAAACAUUUUUUUGCAUCGAAGUUAGCCUGUGGCUGUUCCCUGGUGCUGGUGUUGAGUUAGUUACGGAAGUUGCAACCAGUAUUUUGUCAAUUGUCAUUGUGUCUGGAGUUAUUACCGUUUAUGUGAUAAGAAGAAACAGAAAUAUGGGGAGUUUAUAUGUCAAACAAAUAAUGAAUAAACCGUCGCGAUUGGGAAAGCAACGAG